GGCUAAUGUGGUGUAGUGGUUUGAGCGUUGGACUAGGACACUAGGGGACCAGGGUUCAAAUCCCAGGUUGGCCA
Phrynosoma platyrhinos (Desert horned lizard) is the source of this 74-nucleotide non-coding RNA. The record is from the annotation of a GenBank genome assembly. NCBI's taxonomy places the organism in Eukaryota, Metazoa, Chordata, Lepidosauria, Squamata, Phrynosomatidae.